AGCUUAGAGUACUAUGUUCUAAGUGCUUUCUGCCCAGUGAUAAACUUUAACGGCCGCAGUACCUUGACUGUGCUAAGGUAGCAUAAUAAUUUGGCUUUUAAUUAAGGUCUAGUAUGAAAGGGAAUAGGGAGAUAUGCUGUUUCUAAUAAACUUUAUAAAACUUAAUAAAAAGGUGAAAAUGCCUUUAUUUUGAAGGAGGACGAGAAGACCCUAAGAAUUUUCAACUACUACAAACUUUGGGAGUGGUUUUUUGUUGGGGUGACAGGUUAAAUGGGUUAACUUAACAACAAGUAUAUGAAAUUUUUUUGAGUGAUAAAAUUACCUUAGGGAUAACAGCAUAAUUUAAAAUUUUAGAUUGUGACCUCGAUGUUGGACUAGGGAGUAUUUGGUUAGACGCUAAAAUAAGUAGUUCUGUUCGAACUUUGUACCCU
Molecule: ribosomal RNA, 431 nt
Filed under: Gulella sp. 'Rungwe'
Lineage: Eukaryota; Metazoa; Mollusca; Gastropoda; Stylommatophora; Streptaxidae
Description: partial 16S ribosomal RNA
Rfam family: Bacterial large subunit ribosomal RNA
Source: RNAcentral